GCCUUCUCUGACACAAGACGAUGCAACUGAGACCCAGAGACCCAUUCUUCAAUUCUUCAUCAGUUUUUCACCCAGCUAUUCUUCUUCAGUUUUUCUUUCUUCUUUCCUUAUUCAUUGUUUCUUUCUUUUUCUUCAUUCUUUAUCACCCACAGAGACCUAUUCCUCUCCGUUCAUCAUGCUCUGUUGCGUCACAAAUCCAUUGAUAUCUAUGGGUUGAUUUCGGUGGUUGUAGUGUGCUCUUGUUUCCGAUCAAUUUCUGUCGAAGAUCCAUAGAUUCAUGCUUGUUGAUUCUUCAUGUUGCUCACCCAUGGCUUUGAUUUUUUAUUUCAGAUCCACGGCAUGUAACCCACAACGACGACGUUCAUCCUUAUUCUUCGGGUAGUUCUUUCAUCUGUGUUGUUUGAUUAUACAUCUAAACUUCUUACCUUAUAAUAUCAAUUUGAUUGUGUUGCUUUUGUAGUUUGUCUUUGAUUUUUUUAGAGCUGAAUGAGUUUUGAUCGGAUUUUUCAAGAUUGUGUUGUUAGUGUCUUUAUCAUGCUUUGUAUGGCUUGUCUUGUUGAUGAAUUGAAGAUUUGCAAAGGCGAAUUCUA
Molecule: unclassified non-coding RNA, 590 nt
Filed under: Hevea brasiliensis (rubber tree)
Lineage: Eukaryota; Viridiplantae; Streptophyta; Magnoliopsida; Malpighiales; Euphorbiaceae
Source: RNAcentral